GAUGAACGCUGGCGGCGUGCCUAAUACAUGCAAGUCGAGCGAACAGACGAGGAUCUUGCUCCUCUGACGUUAGCGGCUGACGGGUGAGUAACACGUGGAUAACCUACCUAUAAGACUGGGAUAACUUCGGGAAACCGGAGCUAAUACCGGAUAAUAUAUUGAACCGCAUGGUUCAAUAGUUAAAUACGGUUUUUCUGUCACUUAUAGAUGGAUCCGCUCCGCAUUAGCUAGUUGGUAAGGUAACGGCUUACCAAGGCAACGAUGCGUAGCCGACCUGAGAGGGUGAUCGGCCAAACUGGAACGGAGACACGGUACAGACGCCUACGGGAGGAAGCAGUAGGGAAUCUUCCGCAAUGGGCGAAAGCAUGACGGAGCAACGCCGCGUGAGUGAUGAAGGUCUUAGGAUCGUAAAACUCUGUUAUUAGGGAAGAAAAAAUGUGUAAGUAACUAUGCACGUCUUGACGGUACCUAAUCAGAAAGAAACGGCUAACUACGUG
Molecule: ribosomal RNA, 497 nt
Filed under: uncultured bacterium
Lineage: Bacteria
Description: partial 16S ribosomal RNA
Rfam family: Bacterial small subunit ribosomal RNA
Source: RNAcentral